UACGUAGGGGGCAAGCGUUGUCCGGAAUCAUUGGGCGUAAAGAGCGUGUAGGCGGCUUGGUAAGUCCGCUGUGAAAGUCCAGGGCUCAACCCUGGAAAGCCGGUGGAUACUGUCGGACUAGAGUACGGAAGAGGCGAGUGGAAUUCCUGGUGUAGCGGUGAAAUGCGCAGAUAUCAGGAGGAACACCAAUUGCGAAGGCAGCUCGCUGGGACGUUACUGACGCUGAGACGCGAAAGCGUGGGAGCAAACAGG
Molecule: ribosomal RNA, 252 nt
Filed under: uncultured bacterium
Lineage: Bacteria
Description: partial 16S ribosomal RNA
Rfam family: Bacterial small subunit ribosomal RNA
Source: RNAcentral